Molecule: ribosomal RNA, 459 nt
Filed under: uncultured bacterium
Lineage: Bacteria
Description: partial 16S ribosomal RNA
Rfam family: Bacterial small subunit ribosomal RNA
Source: RNAcentral
CCUACGGGCGGCAGCAGUGAGGAAUAUUGGUCAAUGGGCGGGAGCCUGAACCAGCCAAGCCGCGUGAGGGAAGAAGGUACAGCGUAUCGUAAACCUCUUUUGUCAGGGAACAAAGGCGGGGACUAGUCCCCGGAUGAGGGUACCUGAAGAAAAAGCAUCGGCUAACUCCGUGCCAGCAGCCGCGGUAAUACGGAGGAUGCGAGCGUUAUCCGGUUUUAUGGGGUUUAAAGGGUGCGCAGGCGGCCUGUUAAGUCAGCGGUAAAAGCCCGGGGCUCAACCCCGGCGAGCCGUUGAAACUGGCGGGCUGGAGUUGGAGAGAAGUACGCGGAAUGCGCGGUGUAGCGGUGAAAUGCUUAGAUAUCGCGCAGAACCCCGAUUACGAGGGCAGCGUACCGGCUCCACACUGACGCUGAGGCACGAAAGCGUGGGUAUCGAACAGGAUUAGAUACCCGUGUAGUC